CAGUCGCCGCGGUAAUACGUAGGGUGCGAGCGUUAAUCGGAAUUACUGGGCGUAAAGCGUGCGCAGGCGGUUUUGUAAGACAGGCGUGAAAUCCCCGGGCUCAACCUGGGAAUGGCGCUUGUGACUGCAAAGCUAGAGUGCGGCAGAGGGGGAUGGAAUUCCGCGUGUAGCAGUGAAAUGCGUAGAUAUGCAGAGGAACACCGAUGGCGAAGGCAAUCCCCUGGGCCUGCACUGACGCUCAUGCACGAAAGCGUGGGGAGCAAACAGGAUUAGAUACCCCGGUAGUCCCUGUCUCUUAUAC
This 301-nucleotide ribosomal RNA is filed under the name uncultured bacterium. RNAcentral's name for it is "partial 16S ribosomal RNA". It matches the Rfam family "Bacterial small subunit ribosomal RNA", at positions 509 to 807 of the family's 1533-position model. The record is from RNAcentral.